RNAcentral lists this ribosomal RNA (588 nucleotides) under uncultured bacterium. RNAcentral describes it as "partial 16S ribosomal RNA". It matches the Rfam family "Bacterial small subunit ribosomal RNA", at positions 355 to 1375 of the family's 1533-position model. The record is from RNAcentral.
UGGGGAAUUUUGGACAAUGGGCGAAAGCCUGAUCCAGCAAUGCCGCGUGUGUGAAGAAGGCCUUCGGGUUGUAAAGCACUUUUGUCCGGAAAGAAAUCCUUGGCUCUAAUACAGUCGGGGGAUGACGGUACCGGAAGAAUAAGCACCGGCUAACUACGUGCCAGCAGCCGCGGUAAUACGUAGGGUGCAAGCGUUAAUCGGAAUUACUGGGCGUAAAGCGUGCGCAGGCGGUUUGCUAAGACCGAUGUGAAAUCCCCGGGCUCAACCUGGGAACUGCAUUGGUGACUGGCAGGCUAGAGUAUGGCAGAGGGGGGUAGAAUUCCACGUGUAGCAGUGAAAUGCGUAGAGAUGUGGAGGAAUACCGAUGGCGAAGGCAGCCCCCUGGGCCAAUACUGACGCUCAUGCACGAAAAGCGUGGGGGAGCAAACAGGAUUAGAUACCCUGGUAGUCCACGCCCUAAAACGAUGUCAACUAGUUGUUGGGGAUUCAUUUCCUUAGUAACGUAGCUAACGCGUGAAGUUGACCGCCUGGGGAGUACGGUCGCAAGAUUAAAACUCAAAGGAAUUGACGGGGUCAUAGCUGUUUCCU